RNAcentral lists this ribosomal RNA (379 nucleotides) under uncultured bacterium. RNAcentral describes it as "bacterial SSU rRNA". It matches the Rfam family "Bacterial small subunit ribosomal RNA", at positions 28 to 410 of the family's 1533-position model. The record is from RNAcentral.
GACGAACGCUGGCGGCGUGCUUAACACAUGUAAGUCGAGCGGUAAGGCCCUUUCGGGGUACACGAGCGGCGAACGGGUGAGUAACACGUGGGUGACCUGCCCUUAGCUCUGGGAUAAGCCUGGGAAACUGGGUCUAAUACCGGAUAUGACUCCAUGACGCAUGUUGUGGGGUGGAAAGCCUUGUGCGGCUAGGGAUGGGCCUGCGGCCUAUCAGCUUGUUGGUGGGGUGAUGGCCUACCUAGGCGACGACGGGUAGCCGGCCUGAGAGGGCGACCGGCCACACUGGGACUGAGACACGGCCCAGACUCCUACGGGAGGCAGCAGUGGGGAAUCUUGCGCAAUGGGCGAAAGCCUGACGCAGCGACGCCGCGUGGGGAUG